UUUGUAUGAAUGUACGUGUGUAUAUACACACACACACAUAUAAUAUUAAUUGUCAGUAACAUAACCCUAGUAUAUUAUAGUAUAGUACUCUUCAUGCACUAUAUAAACAACUCAAACCUUACAAUGCUUCCCACCAACACACAUAGAUCAGUACCCUGUACCCUUCUAGCCGAAAUCUCCAUUUUUGGUAAGUCAAUAUAUAUAGAUAAUUAACAUAUUUUCUUUGUAUCAAUGGUGAAAGUUCAAAAGUAUUGAGUAAAUAUUAAAAUAAUUUGAUAUUCUCUCUAGUACAUACUUCUCUUACAUAAUUAAGAUAUAUGAUGAUGGUCUAAUUUGUAUAUAUAUCAGUGAAAAAUAUAUAUAGAAAAGUGAAAGUAGUACUGCAAGAAUGAGGAAGACUCUAGUAUUUGUUCUAGCCCUACUGAUGAUGAGCUCUUGCUUGUCCUUCAACUUGAAAGCGUUAAUGGCUGAAAUGAAUUUCAACGACGAGCAGCGAAAGCUACUAGCAGCCGAGGGGAGCAACUCUGUGCACCCUGGAACAAACGAUGUGAACAACCACCACUAUAUUCCUAGGCAGGACUUCGGCAACUAUAAUGGUGGUGGCAACUCUGGUGGAGGUACCGACGAUAACGGUGACAAAUCGGAAAAAAAUAAUUAGUUUUCGAGAUAUAUGUGAUGAGUUCUUUUAAUCAAGUUUAGUUACGUACUAUAUAUCUGUGUUUUAUAAUUAAGGUUCAUGUUUUGUUGAUGUGGUGCAAGAAGAUAUUAAAGAGUAUGUAUGUAUAUAUCUUGUGUAUAUUGUAUGGUAGGUAUAGUAGUACGUUUUGGCAAUUCUUAUAUGCCAAUGAUAUAUAUAAUUAAAUAAAACAUGUGUUAUAUUUUGUAUAAUUAAUUUAUUGUUGAUCAAAAUUUUAUCUGCAUGCAUGCACUCGUUAAAUAUAUCAUUUGACAAUUGAUGCCC
This 961-nucleotide long non-coding RNA is filed under the name Panax ginseng (ginseng). RNAcentral's name for it is "long non-coding RNA (PGIN_LNC005468)". The record is from RNAcentral. Lineage: Eukaryota; Viridiplantae; Streptophyta; Magnoliopsida; Apiales; Araliaceae.